Molecule: long non-coding RNA, 206 nt
Organism: Melitaea cinxia (Glanville fritillary)
Lineage: Eukaryota; Metazoa; Arthropoda; Insecta; Lepidoptera; Nymphalidae
Exons: 4
Source: RefSeq, a predicted model, not a curated record
ACACGUACGCUCUUCCGAUCAAUUCAACGGAACCUUCCCCCACCGCGCCGGCGACUGCGGGUAGCUUGGAAAAUUAGAAACAUCAAGUCAGACGCAUUCACAUUAUUACCGACAAUAAGUUAGUCUUUUAUAAUCAUAUGUUCAAUCAUUGGUAAAAGUUUGUAUAUACGUUAUCUGAAAUUAAUUAAAGUUAAUUUAAGAAGAAA